Molecule: ribosomal RNA, 269 nt
Filed under: uncultured prokaryote
Description: partial 16S ribosomal RNA
Rfam family: Bacterial small subunit ribosomal RNA
Source: RNAcentral
UACGGAGGAUCCGAGCGUUAUCCGGAAUUAUUGGGUUUAAAGGGUGCGUAGGCGGCCAUUUAAGUCAGCGGUGAAAUUUUGCAGCUUAACUGUAACAGUGCCGUUGAUACUGUUUGGCUAGGAUUUGGUUGUAGUGUGCGGAAUGUGUGGUGUAGCGGUGAAAUGCUUAGAUAUCACACAGAACACCGAUUGCGAAGGCAGCACACUAAGUCAUUAUUGACGCUGAGGCACGAAAGUGUGGGGAUCAAACAGGAUUAGAUACCCCCGUA